AAUCUGCACAUAUUCUGGGGGGUCGAAGUCUUUCCAACUAGGACGGAAAGAGCUUUGAGGUGGCCAAAGCUCUUCUACAGGAAAUUGUGCCUCGGUUUGGUAUGCCCUUAACCAUACACAGUGAUAACAGACCUGCAUUUAUGGUGGACAUUAUACAAACCCUGACCAAGUCCCUCAACAUUACCUGGAAAUUGCAACGCGCAUCUAUCUUAGCCCUCCAAGGAUACCAACCCCAGGAACUAAAGGGUGAUGCCUACCAAAAAGAUUUUUUGAAAAGGCAUAAAAGGGGGAAUGUUGGGAAAAUAAGUAAAGUUAUGCACCAUAAGAUGGCCUACGGGACUAAUAUAAGCUCUAGUUCCUAGCUUACAGACUCUUCUUCCAGGUUCUUCUUCCUGCCCUGCUUUCCAUGUGUGCCAAAUUACUACUAAUGCAGAAUGUGAAAGUAACAGGUAAUAAACUGUCCCCCAUCCUUGUGCUCAGGGCUCAGAUCUCUGGAGAAGGAUCUCCUCUGAGCUUGCCAGUGUAAAAUAAAACUCUGAUCUACCAAGAUCUCCGAGUGCCGCUUGGUUUUUCCGCCAGCGAUCCAGCCUGGUUCUGGAAUAGGUUAAGCGUCCGACUUCAGCCAGGUCA
Molecule: long non-coding RNA, 630 nt
Organism: Herpailurus yagouaroundi (jaguarundi)
Lineage: Eukaryota; Metazoa; Chordata; Mammalia; Carnivora; Felidae
Exons: 3
Source: RefSeq, a predicted model, not a curated record